GACGAACGCUGGCGGCGUGCUUAACACAUGCAAGUCGAACGGAAAGGCCUCACUUGUGGGGUACUCGAGUGGCGAACGGGUGAGUAACACGUGGGUGAUCUGCCCUCAACUUUGGGAUAAGCCUGGGAAACUGGGUCUAAUACCGGAUAUGACCACUGGAUGCAUGUUUGGUGGUGGAAAGCUUUAUUGCGGUUGGGGAUGGGCCCGCGGCCUAUCAGCUUGUUGGUGGGGUAAUGGCCUACCAAGGCGACGACGGGUAGCCGACCUGAGAGGGUGAUCGGCCACACUGGGACUGAGACACGGCCCAGACUCCUACGGGAGGCAG
Molecule: ribosomal RNA, 325 nt
Filed under: uncultured Actinomycetes bacterium
Lineage: Bacteria; Bacillati; Actinomycetota; Actinomycetes
Description: bacterial SSU rRNA
Rfam family: Bacterial small subunit ribosomal RNA
Source: RNAcentral